UGUCGUCAGCUCGUGUCGUGAGAUGUUGGGUUAAGUCCCGCAANNNNCGCAACCCUCAUCCUUAGUUNCCAUCAGGUAAUGCUGNGNACUUUAAGGAAACUGCCAGUGAUAAACUGGAGGAAGGUGGGGAUGAUGUCAAGUCAUCAUGGCCNUUAUGGAGUGGGCUACACACGUGCUACAAUGGUGGCUACAAUGGGNUGCAAAGUNNCGAGGCUNANCUAAUCCCUUAAAAGCCAUCUCAGUUCGGAUUGUACUCUGCAACUCGAGUGCAUGAAGUUGGAAUCGCUAGUAAUCGUGGAUCAGCANGCCACGGUGAAUACGUUCUCGGGUCUUGUACACACUGCCCGUCACGCCAUGGGAAUUG
RNAcentral lists this ribosomal RNA (364 nucleotides) under Wolbachia pipientis. Its description in RNAcentral is "partial 16S ribosomal RNA". It matches the Rfam family "Bacterial small subunit ribosomal RNA", at positions 1050 to 1413 of the family's 1533-position model. The record is from RNAcentral. Lineage: Bacteria; Pseudomonadati; Pseudomonadota; Alphaproteobacteria; Rickettsiales; Anaplasmataceae.